CCUAGUAACGGCGAGUGAAGCGGCAACAGCUCAAAUUUGAAAUCUGGCACUUGUGCCCGAGUUGUAAUUUGUAGAGGAUGCUUUUGGUGCGGUACCUUCCGAGUUCCCUGGAACGGGACGCCAUAGAGGGUGAGAGCCCCGUACGGUUGGAUACUAAACCUCUGUAAAGCUCCUUCGACGAGUCGAGUAGUUUGGGAAUGCUGCUCUAAAUGGGAGGUAUACUUCUUCUAAAGCUAAAUACCGGCCAGAGACCGAUAGCGCACAAGUAGAGUGAUCGAAAGAUGAAAAGCACUUUGAAAAGAGGGUUAAAUAGCACGUGAAAUUGUUGAAAGGGAAGGGUUUAUGACCAGACUUGUGCCUAGCGGAUCAUCCAGUGUUCUCACUGGUGCACUUCGCUAGGUUCAGGCCAGCAUCGGUUUCUGCAGGAGGAUAAAAGCUUCGGGAAUGUGGCUCUCUCCGGGGAGUGUUAUAGCCCGUUGCACAAUACUCUUGUGGGGACCGAGGACCGCGCUUCGGCAAGGAUGCUGGCGUAAUGGUUAUUAACCACCCGUCUUGAAACACGGACCAAGGAGUCGAACAUUUGUGCGAGUGUUUGGGUGUUAAACCCUCACGCGUAAUGAAAGUGAACGGAGGUGAGAGCCUUAGGGUGCAUCAUCGACCGAUCCUGAUGUCUUCGGAUGGAUUUGAGUAAGAGCAUAAAUGUCCGGACCCGAAAGAUGGUGAACUAUGCGUGGAUAGGGUGAAGCCAGAGGAAACUCUGGUGGAGGCUCGCAGCGGUUCUGACGUGCAAAUCGAUCGUCAAAUCUGCGCAUGGGGGCGAAAGACUAAUCGA
RNAcentral lists this ribosomal RNA (832 nucleotides) under Delonicicola siamense. RNAcentral describes it as "eukaryotic LSU rRNA". It matches the Rfam family "Eukaryotic large subunit ribosomal RNA", at positions 79 to 938 of the family's 3401-position model. Lineage: Eukaryota; Fungi; Ascomycota; Sordariomycetes; Xylariales; Delonicicolaceae. The record is from RNAcentral.